CAGCAGCCGCGGUAAUACGUAGGGGGCAAGCGUUAUCCGGAUUUACUGGGUGUAAAGGGAGCGUAGACGGCUUGGCAAGUCUGAAGUGAAAGCUCGGGGCUCAACCCCGGAACUGCUUUGGAAACUGUCUGGCUAGAGUGCAGGAGAGGUAAGCGGAAUUCCUAGUGUAGCGGUGGAAUGCGUAGAUAUUAGGAGGAACACCAGAGGCGAAGGCGGCUUACUGGACUGUAACUGACGUUGAGGCUCGAAGGCGUGGGGAGCAAACAGGAUUAGAUACCCUGGUAGUCCACGCGGUAAACGAUGAUCACUAGGUGUUGGCUAUGCAUAGCGUGUCGGUGCCGCAGCAAACGCAAUAAGUGAUCCACCUGGGGAGUACGUUCGCAAGAAUGAAACUCAAAUGAAUUGACGG
RNAcentral lists this ribosomal RNA (409 nucleotides) under uncultured rumen bacterium. Its description in RNAcentral is "bacterial SSU rRNA". It matches the Rfam family "Bacterial small subunit ribosomal RNA", at positions 509 to 916 of the family's 1533-position model. The record is from RNAcentral.